AUCCAGUGACUGGUUCCUACCACAAGAUCCUCUUCCAAACGAUAAACUGUCUUUGGCAACCCCGAAAGGAAAACAAGGCACUCUUUGCUCUGAUCAAAUCACAGUGCCAGUCUGCAGCUCACGACACCGUUUAUAGGAUAUCCCGAUGGGGCAGCUCCUCGGCAAACUUCAUGGUAAGGAGUGGAGGCACAGGCAAAUAAGAUUGAUAACAGACCGGGUUUUUAAUCGCGUUAAAAAUGAAUCAGGAAGGGCUGAUCUGUCGUUCGAAGAUCUGUACAUUGCUGUCCUACUUGUCUACAAUGAUAUCAAUAAGCUGUUGCCUGGUCCCCAUUUUGAUCCACCCUCCAAAGAUCAAGUCAGAACCAUGAUUCAGGAGUGUGACCUCAACCUUGAUGGGGGAAUUGACCAUGAUGAAUUUGUGAAGUUUAUUCAGCGGCUAACAGCAGACACAUUCAUUGUUGUUAGUCAGGGACUGAUACUAACUUUGAUUGUAGCACCCACAUUUGCAAUGGCAACAAAGAAGGCUACAGAGGGUGUCCCAGGCGUUGGAAAGGUGGUUCAAAAACUACCCAAUUCAAUAUAUGCAUCCCUCGUCACUCUUGCGAUCGUGUGGUUCCAAAAUGCUCGCCAGGACCUUGACUAGAGACUUUAAUUCUGUUCAUCCAAAAUAUCUCCACUCUGUAUCAUGCACUAGCUGCCUUCUAGUUGUUUUCUUCGUGUUUCAUGGAAUGGAGUGUUGUAUUUGUUUAUGUCUUAUUAAUUACGACGAUAACAUUGUUACUUCUGUUCAGGGUAUUGAUUAGUCAGUNNNNNNNNNNNUGGAGUUAAGUAGUUAGCUUGUAAUACAUUUUAAAGAUAUGUACUAUAAAUUUCAUAAGCCUUUUCCCUUCCUCAAAAAAAAAAAAAACAAC
This 911-nucleotide unclassified non-coding RNA is filed under the name Hevea brasiliensis (rubber tree). Lineage: Eukaryota; Viridiplantae; Streptophyta; Magnoliopsida; Malpighiales; Euphorbiaceae. The record is from RNAcentral.